AGCGAACGCUGGCGGCAGGCUUAACACAUGCAAAUCGAACGGGCACCUCGGUGCUAGUGGCGGACGGGUGAGUAACGCGUGGGAACGUGCCUUUCGGUUCGGAAUAAUCCAGGGAAACUUGGACUAAUACCGGAUACGCCCUUCGGGGGAAAGAUUUAUCGCCGAAAGAUCGGCCCGCGUCUGAUUAGCUAGUUGGUGAGGUAAAGGCUCACCAAGGCGACGAUCAGUAGCUGGUCUGAGAGGAUGAUCAGCCACAUUGGGACUGAGACACGGCCCAAACUCCUACGGGAGGCAGCAGUGGGGAAUAUUGGACAAUGGGCGCAAGCCUGAUCCAGCCAUGCCGCGUGAGUGAUGAAGGCCUUAGGGUUGUAAAGCUCUUUUGUCCGGGAAGAUAAUGACUGUACCGGAAGAAUAAGCCCCGGCUAACUUCGUGCCAGCAGCCGCCGUAA
RNAcentral lists this ribosomal RNA (449 nucleotides) under uncultured bacterium. RNAcentral's name for it is "partial 16S ribosomal RNA". It matches the Rfam family "Bacterial small subunit ribosomal RNA", at positions 29 to 523 of the family's 1533-position model. The record is from RNAcentral.